GUGCCAGCCGCCGCGGUAAUACGGAGGAUGCGAGCGUUAUCCGGAUUUAUUGGGUUUAAAGGGUGCGUAGGCGGAUCAAUAAGUCAGUGGUGAAAACCUGCAGCUUAACUGUAGACUUGCCGUUGAUACUGUUGGUCUUGAGUGUGGUCAAGGUAGGCGGAAUGUGUAAUGUAGCGGUGAAAUGCUUAGAUAUUACACAGAACACCGAUUGCGAAGGCAGCUUGCUGGACCAUUACUGACGCUGAUGCACGAAAGCGUGGGGAUCGAACAGGAUUAGAUACCCCCGUAGUCC
RNAcentral lists this ribosomal RNA (292 nucleotides) under uncultured bacterium. RNAcentral's name for it is "partial 16S ribosomal RNA". It matches the Rfam family "Bacterial small subunit ribosomal RNA", at positions 505 to 796 of the family's 1533-position model. The record is from RNAcentral.